CAAUGCGACCCUUACAUACUAGUGGUAAUCCAUUCAAGAUAAACAAAGUAAACCAUAUGCUGAGGGAACACAUGUGCUAAACCGCAAUGAGAUUAUUUCAAUGGAAACGGUCCGUGUACGAGGGCAAGCAGUUAAAGAACUACCUGAAAUGCUUCCAUAACCUAAGUCGGAAUAUUCUUCAGCCUCUCAAUAAGGUAAAGGGUUCAGCGACACAAAGAAUGCGGAUAGAUAUCCAGAACACAUUUAUUUUAUUUUUACAUUUUAUUUUUGUAAAUAAAUUUUGAGAGGCUACAUCAGUUUCUCAGGGUGACAAAAACUGACGACGGCCACGGAUCCGCGUUUGAGAACAAGUUAUGAGUGCUUGAGAAACUAUAAUGAGUGCUUGAGAAUGUUUUCUCAGCAUGAGAAAGCCCCACGGCCCCUCGGCCUACUAUGUCUACCAGCAACAACCAAGACCACCAGAACGGUCUGAGCGAAAAAAUUGAUGAAAAUGAAUAAAUAAUUACAAAUUUUUUUAACAAAAUACAAGCAAUCAGUUGAUCGACGAAUCUUUAUGCUUUAAUGGCCAAAUAGUGUACUAUAACUCUUGAUUAUAGAAUAAAGAUAGAAUAAUAUAACAAUAGAAGUAUAAUAACAGAAGAUUAUAUAAGGGCGCCUGUUUUAAGCUUUUGCCGCUUCAAAUUCUACGGGUAGUACAAUUCAGAUUGUAGAUUACAAUCGAACAGGAUUCAUAUAAAAUCUUCCUGGCAGAAAACCCCAUAAUCGAGACAGUAGAAAUGUAUGUUUAAAGUAUGUGUAUUUUAUUGAAUUGAUCUUAAUUCCAAAUCCAUUAUCAGUUCUCUCAUUUCAACUGCUUUUGUAUAUCACGUCGACCCUUUAACCGCUAGCAGG
Long non-coding RNA from Anopheles merus, 891 nucleotides. RefSeq lists it as uncharacterized. The transcript is spliced from 2 exons. NCBI's taxonomy places the organism in Eukaryota, Metazoa, Arthropoda, Insecta, Diptera, Culicidae. The record is from RefSeq and is a predicted model, not a curated record.